CCUACGGGUGGCAGCAGUGAGGAAUAUUGGUCAAUGGACGAGAGUCUGAACCAGCCAAGUAGCGUGAAGGAUGACUGCCCUAUGGGUUGUAAACUUCUUUUAUAUGGGAAUAAAAUGUUCCACGUGUGGGAUUUUGUAUGUACCAUAUGAAUAAGGAUCGGCUAACUCCGUGCCAGCAGCCGCGGUAAUACGGCGGAUCCGAGCGUUAUCCGGAUUUAUUGGGUUUAAAGGGAGCGUAGGUGGAUUGUUAAGUCAGUUGUGAAAGUUUGCGGCUCAACCGUAAAAUUGCAGUUGAAACUGGCAGUCUUGAGUACAGUAGAGGUGGGCGGAAUGCGUGGUGUAGCGGUGAAAUGCUUAGAUAUCACGAAGAACUCCGAUUGCGAAGGCAGUUCACUGGACUGCAACUGACACUGAGGCUCGAAAGUGUGGGUAUCAAACAGGAUUAGAUACCCCUGUAGUC
This 460-nucleotide ribosomal RNA is filed under the name uncultured bacterium. RNAcentral's name for it is "partial 16S ribosomal RNA". It matches the Rfam family "Bacterial small subunit ribosomal RNA", at positions 338 to 795 of the family's 1533-position model. The record is from RNAcentral.